RNAcentral lists this long non-coding RNA (1578 nucleotides) under Amborella trichopoda. RNAcentral's name for it is "long non-coding RNA (ATRI_LNC005217)". The record is from RNAcentral. Lineage: Eukaryota; Viridiplantae; Streptophyta; Magnoliopsida; Amborellales; Amborellaceae.
CUUCGUUUCUCUCUCUCUCCUCUCCCCAAUACAAUCUUUCCUACUCUCUAAACUCUCUCUCUAAACCCCCCCAAUACCUUCUGAUUCCGGCCAUUCUUCCCUCUGAUGCCUGCCCAUACCCAAUCUUCCGGCCAAAUCCUCCGGCAUAUCCGCCGGAUCUGAACGGAAAUCCGGCUUCCAGCUUACCGAUCUCGCUUAUAACACUCUGUCUCUGAACCCCAUCUCUCUCUCUCUCUAGAGCCCUAUAUCUCUUUCUCUCUCUUCAGGGCCGUUACUUUUCCAUCUUUUCCCCUUUUAUUUUUCCGGGUCUUGAAAUAAUUCUUUUUUUUUCCCGUCAAAAUUACGGAAGUCAUUUUUUUAAUUUUCAUUUCUUUGGCGGUUGCCUGCCCACCACACGAUCUUGCUGACUUGGCGCCAUCUCAUCGAGUUCUGUCCGUACCGCAAGAUGUCGAGUGACACCCGAGCGUCAAAGAAGAGGAAAACGAAGAACGGCGAUUUUGACGCCGAGGUGUCAAGAAGCCAAUGCGAAGCCGAGCGGGAUAACCGGCUCCUGGCUUGCUAUUUGGCUCACGAGUUCCUCUCUCGAGGCACUCUCUUCGGUCGCUCGUGGAGCCGAGCCGCGGGCUCGAGCCGCGCCGAGCCAAGCCAUGUGAGACGUGGCGGUGAUGGAGACCGUCAGAUCUACGCCAACGUGGCUGAGAUGAUGAAAUCGGACGACGUUCACCUACCCGGCAUCGUCAACCCCACUCAGCUCGCUAGCUGGCUGCGAUCGUGACACGUGGACGGCUACAACGCGACCGCGUGGCAGAAAACCCUUCUCCACGUGGCGUGUUUCGAUUUGCUGGACUCCCCCUCUCCAUGCAGCGUCGUUAGAGCGACCACCCCGAGAGCUUACGAGUACGCUCAAGUUCAGUGUACGGUCUAAUACACUGUUGUGUACGGUUUGUGUAGUAUUUGUUGUAUCCUAGAUAGCAUGCAGCGCCUGUGUACCAGUGAUUGGACGGUGUAGGUUUCAUCGAUCGUACCUUCUUAUUCGGGACCCUUGCUCGAGGUAAGCUUGACGAGCUCAUGCUUCUCCAUUUCACGGUCCAGAUUUCGUUUCAUUUUUCAGGGGACGGUCGGGAUUGGAGAAGGCCCAUUCGCCUGGUGCGAACCUGGGUCUUCAUGUGAAGUUUCAUUGCUUCUGCAACGUAGGAUUCAUCUUUCUUGUUCUUGUUUAUUUUCCAUUGUUGAUGCCAAGUUCAAGUUCUUGAAACUCUAUGUUUCAUAUCUCGCGAAAAUUUCAUUCGAAUUUCGGCUGACUUUCGAUCAACCUGAAAACUGAUGGCAACUUUCUCUCACUUAAAUACUGAGCGUUACUCUCUCUCUCUGGUAAGGAAGGAUAGACAUGAAUCUAAAUACUUCAUUUCUUUGUUCUUUUUACUGUUUUCAUAAUCUUUACCAAGUAUUUAACAAAUUCAUUUCUAUCAAUAAUUGCAUUCAAUUAUUAGAUUCUCCCUAUCUCGAGUCCAAAUGAUGCCAUUUGCACUAUACUUUUAAACCAAAACUGUAUCUAUCAUUUAACCAAAACUGUAUCUA